Molecule: ribosomal RNA, 389 nt
Filed under: uncultured Chrysophyceae
Lineage: Eukaryota; Chrysophyceae
Description: partial small subunit ribosomal RNA
Rfam family: Eukaryotic small subunit ribosomal RNA
Source: RNAcentral
GCUUGUCUCAAAGAUUAAGCCAUGCAUGUCUAAGUAUAAACAAAUCUAUACGUGAAACUGCGAAUGGCUCAUUAUAUCAGUUAUAGUUUAUUUGAUGGUUCAUACUACUUGGAUAACCGUAGUAAUUCUAGAGCUAAUACAUGCGUCAAAACCCAACUUCUGGGAGGGUUGUAUUUAUUAGAUUGAAACCAAUGCGGGGUAACCCGGUGUUUGGUGAUUCAUAAUAACUUUCGGAUCGCAUUUGCGAUGCAUCAUUCAAGUUUCUGCCCUAUCAGCUUUGGAUGGUAGGGUAUUGGCCUACCAUGGCAUUAACGGGUAACGGAGGAUUUGGGUUCGAUUCCGGAGAGGGAGCCUGAGAAAUGGCUACCACAUCCAAGGAAGGCAGCAGG